AGUGAACGCUGGCGGUAGGCCUAACACAUGCAAGUCGAACGGCAGCACAGUAAGAGCUUGCUCUUACGGGUGGCGAGUGGCGGACGGGUGAGGAAUACAUCGGAAUCUACUUUUUCGUGGGGGAUAACGUAGGGAAACUUACGCUAAUACCGCAUACUACCUACGGGUGAAAGCAGGGGAUCUUCGGACCUUGCGCGAUUGAAUGAGCCGAUGUCGGAUUAGCUAGUUGGCGGGGUAAAGGCCCACCAAGGCGACGAUCCGUAGCUGGCCUGAGAGGAUGAUCGGCCACACUGGAACUGAGACACGGUCCAGACUCCUACGGGAGGCAGCAGUGGGGAAUAUUGGGCAAUGGGCGCAAGCCUGAUCCAGCCAUGCCGCGUGGGUGAAGAAGGUCUUCGGGUUGUAAAGCCCUUUUGUUAGGGAAGAAAAGCAGCAGGUUAAUACCCCGCUGUUCUGACGGUACCCAAAGAAUAAGCACCGGCUAACUUCGUG
This 492-nucleotide ribosomal RNA is filed under the name uncultured bacterium. RNAcentral describes it as "partial 16S ribosomal RNA". It matches the Rfam family "Bacterial small subunit ribosomal RNA", at positions 29 to 507 of the family's 1533-position model. The record is from RNAcentral.